AAUAGAUACCCAGGUAGUCCACGCCGUAAACGUUGGAUACUAGGUGCGGCGUCCUGAUCAACGGAUGCCGUGCCGAAGCUAACGCAUUAAGUAUCCCGCCUGGGGAGUACGGCCGCAAGGCUAAAACUCAAAGGAAUUGACGGGUCCCCGCACAAGCGGCGGAGCAUGCGGCUUAAUUCGAUGCAACCCGAAGAACCUUACCUGGGUUUGAAAUCAUGGGAAAAGCUAUAGAAAUACAGUGUCCGUAAGGGCCCAUGACAGGUGGUGCAUGGCUGUCGUCAGCUCGUGUCGUGAGAUGUUGGGUUAAGUCCCGCAACGAGCGCAACCCUUGUCCUAUGUUGCCAGCGGUUCGGCCGGGGACUCAUAGGAGACUGCCGGGGAUAACUCGGAGGAAGGUGAGGACGACGUCAAGUCAUCAUGCCCCUUAUAUCCAGGGCUGCACGCAUGCUACAAUGGUCGGUACAACGGGCAGCGACCCCGCGAGGGUGAGCGAAUCCCACAAAGCCGGCCUCAGUUCGGAUUGGAGU
This 527-nucleotide ribosomal RNA is filed under the name uncultured bacterium. Its description in RNAcentral is "bacterial SSU rRNA". It matches the Rfam family "Bacterial small subunit ribosomal RNA", at positions 777 to 1304 of the family's 1533-position model. The record is from RNAcentral.